Molecule: ribosomal RNA, 483 nt
Filed under: Pseudomonas aeruginosa
Lineage: Bacteria; Pseudomonadati; Pseudomonadota; Gammaproteobacteria; Pseudomonadales; Pseudomonadaceae
Description: bacterial SSU rRNA
Rfam family: Bacterial small subunit ribosomal RNA
Source: RNAcentral
AAGCGGUGGAGCAUGUUGUUUAAUUCGAAGUAACGCGAAGAACCUUAACUGGCCUUGACAUGCUGAGAACUUUCCAGAGAUGGAUCGGUGCCUCUGGGAACUGGAGACACAGGUGCUGCAUGGUUGUCGUCAGCUGGUGUCGUGAGAUGUUGGGUUAAGUCCCGUAACGAGCGCACCCCUUGUCCUUAGUUACCAGCACCUCGGGUGGGCACUCUAAGGAGACUGCCGGUGACAAACCGGAGGAAGGUGGGGAUGACGUCAAGUCAUCAGUGCCCUUACGGCCAGGGCUACACACGUGCUACAAUGGUCGGUACAAAGGGUUGCCAAGCCGCGAGGUGGAGCUAAUCCCAUAAAACCGAUCGUAGUCCGGAUCGCAGUCUGCAACUCGACUGCGUGAAGUCGGAAUCGCUAGUAAUCGUGAAUCAGAAUGUCACGGUGAAUACGUUCCCGGGCCUUGUACACACCGCCCGUCACACCAUGGGA